UACAAAGGAAUUGACGGGGCCCGCACAAGCGGUGGAGUAUGUGGUUUAAUUCGAUGCAACGCGAAGAACCUUACCUGGUCUUGACAUCCCGGAGACCCUUAGGAAACUAGGGGGUGCUUCCAUCUGGAAGAAUCUGGAGACAGGUGCUGCAUGGCUGUCGUCAGCUCGUGUCGUGAGAUGUUGGGUUAAGUCCCGCAACGAGCGCAACCCUUGCCUUUAGUUGCCAGCAGUUCGGCUGGGCACUCUAAAGGGACUGCCGGUGUUAAACCGGAGGAAGGUGGGGAUGACGUCAAGUCCUCAUGGCCUUUAUGACCAGGGCUACACACGUACUACAAUGGCCGAUACAAAGGGCAGCGACACUGCGAGGUGAAGCCAAUCCCGUAAAAUCGGUCUCAGUCCGGAUUGGAGUCUGCAACUCGACUCCAUGAAGUUGGAAUCGCUAGUAAUCGUGGAUCAGCAUGCCACGGUGAAUACGUUCCCGGGCCUU
Molecule: ribosomal RNA, 487 nt
Filed under: uncultured Desulfobulbus sp.
Lineage: Bacteria; Pseudomonadati; Thermodesulfobacteriota; Desulfobulbia; Desulfobulbales; Desulfobulbaceae
Description: bacterial SSU rRNA
Rfam family: Bacterial small subunit ribosomal RNA
Source: RNAcentral